CAGCUGUGAGGUCACUGAUGGGAAACUGCCCUCCAAAGUGCCCUCCACUUGUUCCCCCCUUCUCUCUCUCUCCAGGGCCCAACUCAACUCCCUUAGCCAGGAACUGAGCUCAGCUGACUCCAAGCAGCUUCCCAGCUGAAAAAAAAAGUGUUACUUGUAGAGGACAAAGGUGACCAAGGCUCCAGGGUCACAGCCAGUUCUUUGCUGCUUUCUGAAUGUAUGAGCUCUUCCUUGGAAGUCUGACACAGCUCUAUAAAACAGAGGAAUUGGUGCUAUACUUCCAUAGCACAAGAAGUUAACUAAUGUUUACAAGAUACAAACCUGGAUUCUGUUAGUCUUGGAAAAUGCACUGAGAAAAACUGAAGUUCACGAGUCACUGGCAGCUCAUGGCUGGAGACACAUCCUGAAGAAUCACUAUUGAUUUUCUGUGCUCUCAGACUCACCCCUAGGCAGAAUUUCUUGGCCACUACCCAGGGACAGGAUGCUGAGCCAGAUGGACCUUUACUCUGAGCAAAUGUGGCCUUUCUGGUGUUCCCAUGUAAAGUAUGACAAACUGGUACUUGCAAAAAAGCAGUAAAAUUUUUAAUUUACUGCUGACAAAAACAUCAGUUUAAUAUCCAUUAUAUCUGCACCAUUAAAAGUCCUGGUACAUGCUUCUUGUUUUGUAGUGAAAACCCCACUCAAUAAAAGCAAAAAUACUCAGGCUAUUUACUAGCUCCUUCAAGAGAU
Molecule: long non-coding RNA, 729 nt
Organism: Passer domesticus (house sparrow)
Lineage: Eukaryota; Metazoa; Chordata; Aves; Passeriformes; Passeridae
Exons: 3
Source: RefSeq, a predicted model, not a curated record